RNAcentral lists this ribosomal RNA (767 nucleotides) under uncultured Granulicatella sp. RNAcentral's name for it is "bacterial SSU rRNA". It matches the Rfam family "Bacterial small subunit ribosomal RNA", at positions 28 to 776 of the family's 1533-position model. The record is from RNAcentral. Lineage: Bacteria; Bacillati; Bacillota; Bacilli; Lactobacillales; Carnobacteriaceae.
GACGAACGCUGGCGGCGUGCCUAAUACAUGCAAGUCGAACGAGAGCGACCGGUGCUUGCACUGGUCAAUCUAGUGGCGAACGGGUGAGUAACACGUGGGUAACCUGCCCAUCAGAGGGGGAUAACAUUCGGAAACGGAUGCUAAAACCGCAUAGGUCUUCGAACUGCAUGGUUUGAAGAGGAAAAGAGGCGCAAGCUUCUGCUGAUGGUUGGACCCGCGGUGCAUUAGCUAGUUGGUGAGGUAACGGCUCACCAAGGCCGUGAUGCAUAGCCGACCUGAGAGGGUGAUCGGCCACAUUGGGACUGAGACACGGCCCAAACUCCUACGGGAGGCAGCAGUAGGGAAUCUUCCGCAAUGGACGCAAGUCUGACGGAGCAACGCCGCGUGAGUGAAGAAGGUUUUCGGAUCGUAAAACUCUGUUGUUAGAGAAGAACAAGUGCUAGAGUAACUGUUAGCGCCUUGACGGUAUCUAACCAGAAAGCCACGGCUAACUACGUGCCAGCAGCCGCGGUAAUACGUAGGUGGCAAGCGUUGUCCGGAUUUAUUGGGCGUAAAGCGAGCGCAGGCGGUUCCUUAAGUCUGAUGUGAAAGCCCCCGGCUCAACCGGGGAGGGUCAUUGGAAACUGGGGAACUUGAGUGCAGAAGAGGAGAGUGGAAUUCCAUGUGUAGCGGUGAAAUGCGUAGAUAUAUGGAGGAACACCAGUGGCGAAGGCGACUCUCUGGUCUGUAACUGACGCUGAGGCUCGAAAGCGUGGGUAGCAAACAGG